GACGAACGCUGGCGGCGUGCCUAAUACAUGCAAGUCGAACGCACUCUCGUUUAGAUUGAAGGAGCUUGCUCCUGAUUGAUAAACAUUUGAGUGAGUGGCGGACGGGUGAGUAACACGUGGGUAACCUGCCCUAAAGUGGGGGAUAACAUUUGGAAACAGAUGCUAAUACCGCAUAAAACCUAAACACCGCAUGGUGUAGGGUUGAAAGAUGGUUUCGGCUAUCACUUUAGGGUGGACCCGCGGUGCAUUAGUUAGUUGGUGAGGUAAAGGGCACACCAAGACCGUGAUGCAUAGCCGACCUGAGAGGGUAAUCGGCCACACUGGGACUGAGACACGGCCCAGACUCCUACGGGAGGCAGCAGUAGGGAAUCUUCCACAAUGGACGAAAGUCUGAUGGAGCAACGCCGCGUGAGUGAAGAAGGUUUUCGGAUCGUAAAACUCUGUUGUUGGAGAAGAAUGUAUCUGAUAGUAACUGAUCAGGUAGUAACGGUAU
RNAcentral lists this ribosomal RNA (493 nucleotides) under uncultured bacterium. RNAcentral's name for it is "bacterial SSU rRNA". It matches the Rfam family "Bacterial small subunit ribosomal RNA", at positions 28 to 478 of the family's 1533-position model. The record is from RNAcentral.